This 1432-nucleotide long non-coding RNA is filed under the name Homo sapiens (human). RNAcentral describes it as "HSALNT0202131". The record is from RNAcentral. Lineage: Eukaryota; Metazoa; Chordata; Mammalia; Primates; Hominidae.
AAAAAAGAAAAAGAAAUGUUUUAUCCUAAAAGAAAAAAAAAAGGGAGUGAGGGAUUUCAUGUUUUGACUGUCUGCAUCACUUAGAGGAGUCCACUGGUCCAGAUAAAAAAAGAGUAUGCUGGUAUAUUACUGCAUCAAGGAUGAACAAAGAUGGCAAGCAAAGUAAGUUUCCAAAACCAUUUAUCCCUAACUUACUCUAUGAGGAUGAAAUUCUGAAUGAUUCAUCUUACAAUCAAGAAAUUGCCAUUGUUAGUUGGGUGUGGUGGCUACCCUCCCCAGUGGCUGGGACUAUAGAUGUAGACUAUAGAUGUAGUAUAGUCCCAGCCACUGGGGAGGGUGAGGUGGGAAGAUCGCUUGAGCCCAGGAGUUUGAGCUGCAGUGAGCUACGAUUGUGCCACUACACUCCAGCCUGGGCAAUAGAGCAAGACCCCAUCUAUAAAUUUUAAAAAAGAAAGAAAAGAAAUUGCCAUUGAUUGUAUAGUAACACAAGGGUUCUCAGACCAGCAACAUCAGCACCAACUGGGAACUUGUUAAAAAUGCAAAUUCACAAGCCCACCUGGACCUACUCAAUCGGAAGCCUGGGGGUGGAGCACAGCAGUCCAUGUUUUAACAAGCCCUCCAGAUGAUUAUGAUGCUCACUCAAGUUUGAAAAUCACUGAACGAAGUCAAGAAUACAGUGGGAAAAAAAUACCUAGCACUCUGAGAACUUUAUUAGAAUGUAUUUUUAAAAAAUUGAUCCAAAAUAUUAUGACAUAGUCUUCAUGUAAUGAAUUCUUUCAUAGGACAACUAUGAUACAUAGUAAUGGUCUACAAGGAAAUAAAACCUAUAAACUGAUCCACAGAGUAGGUUUACUGGUACCAAAGGUUAGCAUUCAUUCUUCACUGUAUUUUUAUGAUCCUUUUUCAUUAAUAUUGCACCUGAGUUGCUCUGGCAAAGAUUUCCUGCACCAUUAGGUAUACAAAAGUGGUAGUUAUUACCAAUUAUUUGCUGAAAUAAAAUUAGCAGUAAUCACCACCAAAACUUUUACUGUUUUUCUCCCAUUGUUAAUUACAAUAUCCUAAGAACCACAUAUAAUGUAUCGAGCCCUUGUAAAGCUAACGAAUAAACCAAUUACAUCUUUUGCAUGAAGGAGAAAUUCCAUGUUAAAACUCAAAAACUUAUUAUUUAUUUUUUGAGACAGAGUCUUAUUUUGUCACCAAGGCUGGAGUGCAGUGGCACAAUCUCAGCUUACUGCAACCUCUGCCUCCCAGGUUAGGGUGAUUCUCCUGCCUCUGCCUCCUGAAUAGCUGGGACUACAGGUGCAGGCCACCACACUUGCCUAAUUUUUUUUUUAUUAUUUUUACUAGAGACGGGUUUUCCCCAUGUUGGCCAGGCUGGCCUCAAACUCCUGACCUCAGGCCGGUCUCAAACUCCUGACCUCAGGUGAUCUAC